GAUGAACGCUAGCGGCAGGCCUAACACAUGCAAGGUCGAGGGGCAUCGCGGUGCAGCAAUGCACUGGCGGCGACCGGCGUACGGGUGCGUAACGCGUAUGCAACCUGCCCCGCACCGGGGGAUACGCCCGCCGAAAGGCGGAUUAAUACCCCCGAUGGUCCCGGGGGCCCGCAUGGGCAUCCGGGUAAAGCCUUGGCGGUGCGGGAUGGGCAUGCGUGCCAUUAGCUGGCUGGUGGGGUAACGGCCCACCAGGGCAACGAUGGCUAGGGGGUCUGAGAGGAUGGUCCCCCACACUGGUACUGAGACACGGACCAGACUCCUACGGGAGGCAGCAGUGAGGAAUAUUGGUCAAUGGGCGGAAGCCUGAACCAGCCAUGCCGCGUGCGGGAUGAAGGCCCUACGGGUUGUAAACCGCUUUUCCCCGGGAAGAAUAAGCCCCCCGCGGGGGGUGAUGCCGGUACCGGGGGAAUAAGGAUCGGCUAACUCCGUG
This 490-nucleotide ribosomal RNA is filed under the name uncultured bacterium. RNAcentral's name for it is "partial 16S ribosomal RNA". It matches the Rfam family "Bacterial small subunit ribosomal RNA", at positions 28 to 507 of the family's 1533-position model. The record is from RNAcentral.